GAUGAAGAACGCAGCGAAAUGCGAUAAGUAGUGUGAAUUGCAGAAUUCAGUGAAUCAUCGAAUCUUUGAACGCACAUUGCGCCCCUUGGUAUUCCAUGGGGCAUGCCUGUUCGAGCGUCAUUUGUACCUUCAAGCUUUGCUUGGUGUUGGGUGUUUGUCUCGCCUUUGCGUGUAGACUCGCCUUAAAAUAAUUGGCAGCCGGCGUAUUGAUUUCGGAGCGCAGUACAUCUCGCGCUUUGCACUCAUAACGACAGCGUCCAAAAGUACAUUUUACACUCUUGACCUCGGAUCAGGUAGGGAUACCCGCUGAACUUAAGCUUAUCAAUAAGCGGAGGA
Molecule: unclassified non-coding RNA, 336 nt
Filed under: soil metagenome
Description: partial contains 5.8S ribosomal RNA, internal transcribed spacer 2, and large subunit ribosomal RNA
Rfam family: 5.8S ribosomal RNA (bases 1-120)
Source: RNAcentral